Molecule: ribosomal RNA, 378 nt
Filed under: uncultured bacterium
Lineage: Bacteria
Description: bacterial SSU rRNA
Rfam family: Bacterial small subunit ribosomal RNA
Source: RNAcentral
GAAGAACCUUACCUACCCUUGACAUGUCAGAAAUAUCGCAGAGAUGUGAUUGUGCCCGAAAGGGAAUCUGAACACAGGUGCUGCAUGGCUGUUGUCAGCUCGUGUCGUGAGAUGUUGGGUUAAGUCCCGCAACGAGCGCAACCCUUGCCAUUAAUUGCCAUCAUUUAGUUGGGCACUUUAAUGAGACUGCCGGUGAUAAACCGGAGGAAGGUGGGGAUGACGUCAAGUCCUCAUGGCCCUUAUGGGUAGGGCUUCACACGUAAUACAAUGGUCGGUACAGAGGGUUGCCAACCCGCGAGGGGGAGCCAAUCUCAGAAAGCCGAUCGUAGUCCGGAUUGUAGUCUGCAACUCGACUCCAUGAAGUCGGAAUCGGUAGGA